GGUCAAUGAUGAUGCCUAAACUUGUCUUAAGGAGAGAUGAUGUCAUAAAAAUCGUGUUCAGAAGGAUUACAAAGAGGACC
Small nucleolar RNA from Trichechus manatus latirostris (Florida manatee), 80 nucleotides. RefSeq annotates it as small nucleolar RNA SNORD115. NCBI's taxonomy places the organism in Eukaryota, Metazoa, Chordata, Mammalia, Sirenia, Trichechidae. The transcript has a single exon. The record is from RefSeq and is a predicted model, not a curated record.